RNAcentral lists this ribosomal RNA (373 nucleotides) under uncultured bacterium. Its description in RNAcentral is "bacterial SSU rRNA". It matches the Rfam family "Bacterial small subunit ribosomal RNA", at positions 527 to 898 of the family's 1533-position model. The record is from RNAcentral.
AGAGGGUGCGAGCGUUGUCCGGAAUCACUGGGCGUAAAGGGCGCGUAGGCGGCCCGGUAAGCAGGGGGUGAAAUCUUGCGGCUCAACCGCAAGGCUGCCUUCUGAACUGUCGGGCUGGAGCACGGUAGAGGCAGAUGGAAUUCCCGGUGUAGCGGUGGAAUGCGUAGAGAUCGGGAAGAACACCAGUGGCGAAGGCGGUCUGCUGGGCCGUUGCUGACGCUGAGGCGCGACAGCGUGGGGAGCAAACAGGAUUAGAUACCCUGGUAGUCCACGCCGUAAACGAUGGGCACUAGGCGUCGGGGGGAGCGACCCUCCCGGUGCCGUCGCUAACGCAGUAAGUGCCCCGCCUGGGGAGUACGGCCGCAAGGCUGAA